AAUUCUUUCAAACCAGGAGGAACUGUUGAAGCUUGGGUCAUAAACUUGUAUUGACGUAUCCUAUUCUUGUCUAACCACCCAAAAACCUCAAACAGACACACAUUCUUCCAUACAUCAAGUGAAUAUUUUCUUGAAAAAUGGGAGAAUGAAUCAAGAAGAUUGUACAUGAAAGAUCAAGCCAUAAAAGCUUUUGAAGGUGCUGGAAAAGCAAGGAAACUACACUUGACAGAUUCGUUGCACUUCCCAUCCCUGUACAACUACCACUGGUUCCUAUUCACUGUUGACAUAAGGGACAAAAAGUUCAUCUUUAUGGACUCCCUUUUUGACAAGAAUUCAGAUUUACACCAAGAAGUUGAUAAUCGAAUGAUUAUGAACUUUGGAAGAACUUGGAGUGAAUGCCGCUUGAAAGACAUUAACUUCCAAGAAUUUGAAGUCAUCUAUCCACCUGUACCAAAGCAAAGAAAUGGG
Long non-coding RNA from Lolium perenne, 468 nucleotides. RefSeq lists it as uncharacterized. Lineage: Eukaryota; Viridiplantae; Streptophyta; Magnoliopsida; Poales; Poaceae. The record is from RefSeq and is a predicted model, not a curated record.